RNAcentral lists this ribosomal RNA (459 nucleotides) under uncultured bacterium. Its description in RNAcentral is "partial 16S ribosomal RNA". It matches the Rfam family "Bacterial small subunit ribosomal RNA", at positions 338 to 795 of the family's 1533-position model. The record is from RNAcentral.
CCUACGGGAGGCAGCAGUGAGGAAUAUUGGUCAAUGGGCGGGAGCCUGAACCAGCCAAGCCGCGUGAGGGAAGAAGGUACAGCGUGUCGUAAACCUCUUUUGUCAGGGAACAAAGGCGGGGAGUGGUCCUCGGAUGAGGUUACCUGAAGAAAAAGCACCGGUUACCCCCGUGCAAGCAGCCGCGGUACUACGGAGGAUGCGAGCGUUAUCCGGAUUUAUUGGGUUAAAAGGGUGCGCAGGCGGCCUGUUAAGUCAGCGGUAAAAGCCCGGGGCUCAACCCCGGCGAGCCGUUGAAACUGGGGGGCUUGAGUUGGCGAGAAGUACGCGGAAUGCGCGGUGUAGCGGUGAAAUGCAUAGAUAUCGCGCAGAACCCCGAUUGCGAAGGCAGCAUACCGGUUCCACACUGACGCUGAGGCACGAAAGCGUGGGUAUCGAACAGGAUUAGAUACCCCUGUAGUC